This 492-nucleotide ribosomal RNA is filed under the name uncultured bacterium. RNAcentral's name for it is "partial 16S ribosomal RNA". It matches the Rfam family "Bacterial small subunit ribosomal RNA", at positions 29 to 507 of the family's 1533-position model. The record is from RNAcentral.
AGUGAACGCUGGCGGUAGGCCUAACACAUGCAAGUCGAACGGCAGCACGGUAAGAGCUUGCUAUUACUGGUGGCGAGUGGCGGACGGGUGAGUAAUACAUCGGCAUCUACUUUUUCGUGGGGGGUAACGUAGGGAAACGUACGCUAAUACCGCAUACGACCUACUUGUGAAAGCAGGGGAUGUUCGGACCUUGCGCGAGUGAAUGAGCCGAUGUCGGAUUAGCUAGUUGGCGGGGUAAAGGCCCACCAAGGCGACGAUCCGUAGCUGGGCUGAGAGGAUGAUCAGCCCCACUAGAACUGAGACACGGCCCAGACCCCUAUGGGAGGCAGCAGUGGGGAAUAUUGGACAAUGGGCGCAAGCCUGAUCCAGCCCUACCGCGUGGGUGAAGAAGGCACUCGGGUUGUAAAGCCCUUUUGUUGGGAAAGAAAAGCAGCAGGUUAAUACCCCGCUGUUCUGACGGUACCCAAAGAAUAAGCACCGGCUGACUUCGUG